AGUGAACGCCGGCGGUAGGCCUAACACAUGCAAGUCGAACGGCAGCACAGUAAGAGCUUGCUCUUACGGGUGGCGAGUGGCGGACGGGUGAGGAAUACAUCGGAAUCUACUUUUUCGUGGGGGAUAACGUAGGGAAACUUACGCUAAUACCGCAUACGACCUACGGGUGAAAGCAGAGGAUCUUCGGACCUUGCGCGAUUGAAUGAGCCGAUGUCGGAUUAGCUAGUUGGCGGGGUAAAGGCCCACCAAGGCGACGAUCCGUAGCUGGUCUGAGAGGAUGAUCAGCCACACUGGAACUGAGACACGGUCCAGACUCCUACGGGAGGCAGCAGUGGGGAAUAUUGGACAAUGGGCGCAAGCCUGAUCCAGCCAUACCGCGUGGGUGAAGAAGGCCUUCGGGUUGUAAAGCCCUUUUGUUGGGGAAGAAAAGCAGCAGGUUAAUACCCCGCUGUUCUGACGGUACCCAAAGAAUAAGCACCGGCUAACUUCGUG
Molecule: ribosomal RNA, 492 nt
Filed under: uncultured bacterium
Lineage: Bacteria
Description: partial 16S ribosomal RNA
Rfam family: Bacterial small subunit ribosomal RNA
Source: RNAcentral